RNAcentral lists this transfer RNA (66 nucleotides) under Ips nitidus. RNAcentral describes it as "tRNA-Glu". The record is from RNAcentral. Lineage: Eukaryota; Metazoa; Arthropoda; Insecta; Coleoptera; Curculionidae.
AUUUUCAUAGUUUAAAAAAACCUAACUCUUUCAUAGUUAAAAUGAGGAAUUUAACCUCUGUAAAUA